This 367-nucleotide long non-coding RNA is filed under the name Struthio camelus australis. RNAcentral describes it as "lncRNA (ENSSCUG00000001915.1)". The record is from RNAcentral. Lineage: Eukaryota; Metazoa; Chordata; Aves; Struthioniformes; Struthionidae.
GGGGAACUGGUUUCAACUCGCUGCUCCAUUGAUGGGGAGUUUCCUGCUACCCGAAUCCUUUUCUGCAAGGAUGGGAUGGAGGAGUACAGCCUGAAAGCCAUACGGGGUCAACUGAGUUACUCCGUUCUCCUGAAGGUCUCCCAGGGGAACACGGGGAGGUACAUGUGUGGAUACCAGCACAGGGAUGGGAGCAACCGGAUGAGGAGCUCUGCCCUCAGUGCCCCCUGGGACCUGGCCAUCACAGGCACUGCCACCACUCCCAGCACCAGCCCCCAGGAAAAGCCAUCGCCCACAGCCUGUAAAAAGAGAAACCAGAGGCAACAAGACGUGCGCAGCUAUGCAGAGAACACGACCAACGAUGGCCAGG